UACGGAGGGUGCAAGCGUUAUCCGGAUUCACUGGGUUUAAAGGGUGCGUAGGUGGGUUGGUAAGUCAGUGGUGAAAUCUCCGAGCUUAACUUGGAAACUGCCAUUGAUACUAUCAGUCUUGAAUAUUGUGGAGGUCAGCGGAAUAUGUCAUGUAGCGGUGAAAUGCUUAGAUAUGACAUAGAACACCAAUUGCGAAGGCAGCUUACUACGGAUGUAUUGACACUGAGGCACGAAAGCGUGGGGAUCAAACAGG
This 253-nucleotide ribosomal RNA is filed under the name uncultured bacterium. RNAcentral's name for it is "partial 16S ribosomal RNA". It matches the Rfam family "Bacterial small subunit ribosomal RNA", at positions 524 to 776 of the family's 1533-position model. The record is from RNAcentral.